RNAcentral lists this long non-coding RNA (478 nucleotides) under Bos mutus (wild yak). RNAcentral's name for it is "lncRNA (ENSBMUG00000026058.1)". Lineage: Eukaryota; Metazoa; Chordata; Mammalia; Artiodactyla; Bovidae. The record is from RNAcentral.
UGGAAGAGGGUGAAAGAGAGGGGCCACCCCCGGAGCUUCCCGCCCCCCUACCUUCUCGAGAGCUCUCCGCUUUGUGCGGCCUCUGUAGGCUACGCCUGGGGACUGCCCUCCCGGGGUGAAGCUUCAGCCCCCGCGGGAUGCGGCGCUCCUUUUUUUGGAAGCGAGUUCCUAAGGGCCAAAACGGCUCGGCCCAGUGUUCGGGUGGUUGCAGGGGCUCGUGACCGCGUGGAACAUUUACAAGCACUGCACUUUACUGGACCCCCUGCUGGAGGGAAGAAGGCCAGAAAUGAAUACACUUGGAAUCUUGAUAACAGUCUAGCAGGGGAACUAAGACUACAUCAAAUAACUAGUUGGAUUCUUUACCAGCUGAGCCACAAGAGAAACCCAUCAAUGGAUAUACACAGCAAUAUCUUCAAGCUAUUUUGUAGAAACUGAAAUCCCUUCCGGGAGGGAGAAGUUACCGAUAUGUAAACCCCAG